ACAAUGGUGUAAAGAAAACGGAUGGUUAUGCUGUGCUCUUAUUGAGUCUGAGAUGCAAAGAACUCUACAGAUCAGAGCCCAAUAAAACUAAAUUUGGAUUGAAUAGUGAUUAGGAAAUUUGCAAACACGAAUCUUUUGAUGUUUAGGAUGUUUCUGGAAAUAAAAAUAAAUGUUUUUUAUUUUUUAUAUCUGUUUAACCCCACCUGUCAUUUUCUUGUUAGCUCCUGUUUCCCACAGAUUUGUGAUGGAAACUGUGAAUAACACUUAUCCACUCUGCUUUGACAUUACUGGAGCUGUAAUUAUUAAACUCCUUCAUCAUGCCAGCACAGAGCUUCACAUAAAUGGUGUGUUGGACUCAAGACAAAAUCAUGGCUUCAAAGAGAUCGUCAUCCACGUCGGCGCAAACUACAGUAUCAAGGUGGAACCAGAGAGAAUCAGCCUUCAACAGGGACAAAAUAUAACUUACCACACAAGAAAGGAAAACAUCACAGCUGGAAGAUUUACAGUGAACAGGGGUAGAAGGCAAACAGAAGUUACAGAUGGCGACAUGAGGUUGGUCGUCUUAGUCCAUGACACGGGAAGGUGGAAAUUCCUUUGGCCUGUUUUAAGACAGCUGCCAUCUGCUGGUGACACUGAAGGACUUUUAGCUUUAAAUCAUGUGCAGUAUGAAGAGGUUCAUCAAGAUGGCCACACAAAAGUGAAGAUGGCAAACCGAGAGACUCUUGCUCAGCGUUCCACAGUCGCUGACCUCAGGAUUAGGAGACCUGCAGAAAUCGACUGUUGGCUUCUUCCCGCUGACUUUGUCCUGCAAAGACCUUUGACUGAUUUUCUCGUUGCCCGUGUUUAACUGAAAGUCAUGAUAAAUAAUUCAGAAAAAGUACAAGUUACAACUUGAUCCAAAAAUAACUAGUUUAAUUUACCAUGAUAAAAUGCACAGAACAUAGGAUUGAUACAAAAUUACAAUUAAUUAGUCUGAAAGAGGAUUUAAUUUGUAGUUAGGAGGUUAUCUUAUCAGAUAUUUCAAAUACAUGUUUUGUAAUGAUCAAAAAUAGGAUUCAUUUGCAGUCAAAUGAAUAGUUCAGAAUCAUAUUUUUUCUAAAUUGCAUCAUGGUUUAGUUUUCAGCCACUACUGAAAGAGAGAAGUGAUGAACAAAAUACAACAAAAACACUACUUGAGCAAAUAUUAUGUGGCUAGAGAUGAACAUACAGAAUAUUAACUAAGCUUAUGACAGGGUGAGCUUUAAUCAAUAACUUAAGGUCUCCAUAAAGUUUAGAGGCAGAAGUUUCUCAGCAUAAUAUUAAGGCAUAAUGUCUAAGGCAAACAUCCCCCCAAGUUUGGAAGAACAAGGACAGUUCAGGAGGGAUAGUAAAGGGAAACUUUGUUAUGUCCUCAAAAAGCCGCCUUGUCAUAAGAAUCUAAACUACUUUGAUCUAGAACUUGUAUGUGUCACUUUUUUUUUUUUUUACCCGUUAUUCUUACAGUUCAGUGGUUUGCUCAGCUGACACAGUCUAAACACAGAUGUUGUCUGACCUGAAUCCCAUUCUUUGGAUAAGGGAAAGUAUUUAUUAGUUUAGCCACUGGAUUGUCAGAACUCAUGGUUCUGACAGUCCAGUGGUCUGUUCAGCUGACAGAGAAUCUAAACACAGAUGUUGUCUGACCUGAAUGCUGUUCUGUGAAUAAGGGAAAACAUUUAUUAGGUUUUAUGGCUCCGGUCAUUAAAUGGUUUCCCAUUUUUGAAAGCAUCAGAAUCAAACGGGACAUUAGGCUCCAAAAUCAAAUCCUUGAGUGAUGCUGAGCACAUCGAGGCAUCGGAGAGAAACAAGUCAAAGGUUGGCAGGAACAAAAGCUAGACCACAAAACAUCUGGAGCACAAAUAUAAAAACAAAACCGUACUGAACUGGUUGUGUUCAGUAUAGUUGAUUCACUGAUUGGAUCAGUGCCAUUCAGUCUGGCACUGACUGGAUGAGGAGAAUGUCUUCGUAUGUUCAUUUUCGGGUCUUUUAUUUGCUUCUGAGUUUAAGAGCUCAGCUGCGCGCCCUGAGGUUGCAGCUUCCUGGAGAGAAAAAUGUCACCCAGCCUGAUGAGCCAAUCACAGAUGGACUUUAGUAAGAAUGUGGCUGUAUGUGUGCAUUAGACUACCAAUAAAAAAACAAUAAAUACAUCUUUCCCUUCUUUGCA
Non-coding RNA from Poecilia reticulata (guppy), 2179 nucleotides. The record is from RefSeq and is a predicted model, not a curated record. NCBI's taxonomy places the organism in Eukaryota, Metazoa, Chordata, Actinopteri, Cyprinodontiformes, Poeciliidae.